Tyto alba (common barn owl) is the source of this 2299-nucleotide long non-coding RNA. RefSeq lists it as uncharacterized. The record is from RefSeq and is a predicted model, not a curated record. Lineage: Eukaryota; Metazoa; Chordata; Aves; Strigiformes; Tytonidae. The transcript is spliced from 2 exons.
AUUAGAAAUGUAUUAUUUUUACAAUACCACCUGUUUGCUAUGUAGAGAACAGCUAUCUAUGUGAUAUAUACACGUAUUUUUUUUUUUAAGUCUAAAACAGCUGAAUAUAACCUUUCUCUCUGUAACAUCCAGUUAUUUUGUUGACUUUUAGGAGUAAUAUAUCUUAAAAACACCUUUCCUCUUCCUCCUUUUUAAUUGCUGUUGAGACCAUAUAUCAGAGCAAUGAUAUGAAAGUAAACUUGGUAUAUUGAUACUAUCCCCACAAGACAAAGUGCAAAAGAAGGACUACUGAACGUAUGGAAACUGAGUAGUGCAUGUCCUUCUGUAAGUAGCAGAGAAAAAAAAAUAUUACAUUAACUAUUUCAUUUUUCAAUACUACCUUUUUUUUUUUUCAUGUGCCCUCCUACUAGUCAGAUAUACUUCAGGAUAUUUGAGAAGUAUAAAUUCAGCACAAAAGAGAACGCCAAAGGACUACAGUGGGCUGAAUAUUUCGAUUAAUUAAAUCAGCAGAGAAGGAACAGCUCAAACUGACAGAGUACAGAAAAUUACUCAGGGAAAAUUCAGAAAACUAAAGACUUAUGUUUUCUUCAUGUCUAUAAAUGAACAGCACGGCAUGAAACUGUAAAAAUUGCAACAGGAUAGAGCAAGACAGAAACUUAGCUAAGAAAAAGAACUGACUGCAUACUUAAAAUACCAGCCUUCUAAUUGCACAAGUUGCUAGCAGAAAUUACCUAUUGCCAAAAUUUCUAAGCUUGCAAGACACUUCGAUGUACUAGCAUUUCCAAAAUACUGGCCUUUACACUGAAUUUUUUGUACUCAUGUUUGAGAGAUUAAGUUUCAAGACUGAGAUUUUCAGCCUAAAUUUUUGUUUUCUUUUAAGAAACCUUGCACUUUUCCUACUGAAAUCCACUUAAACUCCUUGAACAGCUCAUCAGCAAUCAGUCAGCAACCAUAGAGGUUUAUUAGAGUUAUGGGCCUUAUUGAUGUUAGGUUUAAUAUUUGUUUCAGGAAACUUUCUAUGGUACUGAGAGAAUCAACUAAAUCUGUUUCUUAGCCAGGCAACUUGCUAAAGGAGAGAUUUUUGUAAGCAUAAAAAUCAGUGAGCCUCUCCUGAGCUACAGGAAAAAAAAUUGCUCCAAGUUGAUUUUCUAACUUUCUUAGGCACCUUUGCAAAUUAUAGCCUAGGAUCUUUCAGGCAAGCUUAAAGAAAUCCUCGCGUUUUCCUCAACUGACCUUUUCCCACUGUUCCAGAUCUCAGAUUCUUGCUGGACUACAAAAAGAUCACAAGCAGAAGAUGACCCGUGACUCUAACUUAAUUUCUGUAACAGUUUAGCCUGAUCAGAUCCAUAUCUAAGGAGAAUUUGAAGAGCAGCCUUUAACUCAGUUAUUGGGUCAUGAAUUCUCUAGCCAGUAUAAACUAAGCCUCUUAGGCUUCUCCAUGAGCUUGGAAUAUAUUCUGCAGUCAGACUACAAUACGGUUAACACCUCAUAAUUUGUAUGCAUCAAUAUAAAUUUUUAACACAGUACGUAUUCACCCUCCCGUGCACUUUCUCAUUUUGACCCAACCCAACCACACAAGAUAAAAAGAAACUCAUUUGUAGCAAAGCCACUGAAGUUCUUUCUCACAGCCAAUGAGUUGGGGAAGACACGCGUGUGCCUUGUGUGGAAUACAGCUGUGCAAAUUCAGCAGUGACUCUCUACCCUCCCAAUGCAGCAGCUUCAGCUGGCCAGAGGCCAUCUCCUGUUUUCAGGCAGGAUUUGUACCUCAAAAAGGAGAAUAAUUAUUUUUAUCAUAGUAAUUCAAGUAUUGUCUAGGAUUCCUUUGGGCAAGACACUGGCCCUAACCCUUGGAAUUUAAAAUUCUCUCUAGUUGCUCAUCUGGCUGCCUUUGAAAAACAAAACUGUUGUCUUAUUCUGCAAUAGAUCUAAACUGCUGAGUUAACUUGGACAUUUAGAUAAAAAACCCAACCAAUUAAUCAAAUCUAUUUGAUUCAAAGCACUUCUUACUGCAUAUUAAUUUUUUUAUGAGCAUGAGGACUGCAGUAGCUAAACUUCAUGACUCCUGAACUCUACCCUACAAGGGAUGCCCAGCUGCAAACGUAUUUGUUAGCCUUCAAUCUCAACAACAGGGUCAACAGGUAGCAAGAGCAACAACUCAAAAUAGCCAUACUGGUACCACAUACUCAUUUCCUGUCACUUCCUGCUAGUUACUAAUUGCUUUCAUUAUCAAAUUUGGCUGCUCCUUAAAAAAAAAAAAAAGCCACCACCACCUAAGAAUAAAGAUUUUUGCGUAACUACA